RNAcentral lists this ribosomal RNA (274 nucleotides) under uncultured bacterium. RNAcentral's name for it is "partial 16S ribosomal RNA". It matches the Rfam family "Bacterial small subunit ribosomal RNA", at positions 523 to 796 of the family's 1533-position model. The record is from RNAcentral.
AUACGGAGGGUGCAAGCGUUACUCGGAAUCACUGGGCGUCAAGCGCGCGCAGGCGGCUUGAUAAGUUGGAUGUGAAAGCCUACGGCUCAACCGUAGAACUGCAUCCAAAACUGUCAGGCUAGCGUGUGGGAGAGGAAGAUGGAAUUAGUUGUGUAGGGGUAAAAUCCGUAGAGAUAACUAGGAAUACCAAAAGCGAAGGCAAUCUUCUGGAACACUACUGACGCUGAGGCGCGAAGGCGUGGGGAGCAAACAGGAGUAGAUACCCUAGUAGUCC